Molecule: ribosomal RNA, 467 nt
Filed under: uncultured bacterium
Lineage: Bacteria
Description: partial 16S ribosomal RNA
Rfam family: Bacterial small subunit ribosomal RNA
Source: RNAcentral
ACGCACGCUGGCGGCGUGCUUCACACAUGCCAGUCGCACGGAAAGGCCCUGCUUUUGUGGGGUGCUCGAGUGGCGAACGGGUGAGUAACACGUGAGUAACCUGCCCUUGACUUUGGGAUAACUUCAGGAAACUGGGGCUAAUACCGGAUAGGAGCUCCUGCUGCAUGGUGGGGGUUGGAAAGUUUCGGCGGUUGGGGAUGGACUCGCGGCUUAUCAGCUUGUUGGUGGGGUAGUGGCUUACCAAGGCUUUGACGGGUAGCCGGUCUGAGAGGGUGACCGGCCACAUUGGGACUGAGAUACGGGCCAGACUCCUACGGGAGGCAGCAGUGGGGAAUAUUGCACAAUGGGCGGAAGCCUGAUGCAGCAACGCCGCGUGCGGGAUGACGGCCUUCGGGUUGUAAACCGCUUUCGCCUGUGACGAAGCGUGAGUGACGGUAAUGGGUAAAGAAGCACCGGCUAACUACGUG